CAUGCUUCUGCCUUAAUUGAUUGCUUUGUUUACAAAUCCUAUUGGCCCUGACCUGAUGUCCUUUUAAUCCUUGUGUCAGAGUGGCCAGCCAAGGGAAGAUCAGGGUCAAAGAAUGAUGUAACCAUUUUGGGAGUCACUCAGUCACAGAGCAAGAGGGGAGGGUGGAGUCGGCCUGAAGGAAAAGGGACAGUUGGAGUCCCACUACGAGAUAUGAAGGAGAGUCUGAGGAGCGGGGUGGCGAAAGAGAUUUCUACGAUUCAAUUCACAUUACAUCCUUGCCUUACCUUUCGUUGUCGCUGGCAAUGCAACAUUCUUGGGCCGCAGCUCAAAUUGACCGUAAAUUUCACAGUAACCUCUAACCAUUAAGCACAAACUAUUCAACAAUGACAGAAAAGUUUAUUUUAAAACAUAUUACACGCUUGAAUAAUACAACAAUUCACAAGCAUGUACAGUAUGUGCAGACAAUUAAAGGGUUUAUUUUCCCGUCUGUAGGCUACACUCAUUACAUUUUAGCUUCAAGACGAAAGCACAGAGAUGCUAACAGCAUGUAAUGUUAACCUAUCAAAAAUGAAUGAUUAUCCCACUCCUACAAAUAUAAAUGUAUAGUAGGCCUACCUAUCAACAUUACAACAAAGCAGACUUAAUUUUUAUCAGUGUCAUGCAAAUCAUUUAAAAUAAAUUGUGACUGAAAAUGUGGAUAUACUGUCAGUGAAUUCACCCCCACAAAGUGUUUUAUAUGGAAGCUCAUACCCACCACCAAAUGUUUUAAAUUAAAUAAAAUGCCUCAUGAAUUGUUUCACUUGCACAAUUAGUCUAAUCCCUUCUGGGAAUGGCCAGGGGAAACGUAGCAUCAUGUUUUUACAGCCUAAGCUACGUAUUUUUUGCCUAAAAUUGGCUCAUUUAUUAUUCAAUCAACACAGUAGUGAUGACAUACUGUUUGAGUAUCUUUUUAAUUACAGAUCCAAAAGCCUACCCGAUGCAACCCUGCAUACAGAGAGCUCAGCCCUGUUUGCUUGUUUGUUUUGUCCAAUCACACUGUUGUCUCUGUUUGUGAAAAGGUUUUUAAUGUUUUCAUUCUCCCUAGGGCCAGGAGGUGUUUAAAAAAAAAAA
Molecule: long non-coding RNA, 1110 nt
Organism: Oncorhynchus kisutch (coho salmon)
Lineage: Eukaryota; Metazoa; Chordata; Actinopteri; Salmoniformes; Salmonidae
Exons: 2
Source: RefSeq, a predicted model, not a curated record